This 730-nucleotide ribosomal RNA is filed under the name uncultured bacterium. Its description in RNAcentral is "bacterial SSU rRNA". It matches the Rfam family "Bacterial small subunit ribosomal RNA", at positions 771 to 1498 of the family's 1533-position model. The record is from RNAcentral.
AACAGGAUUAGAUACCCUGGUAGUCCACGCCGUAAACGAUGUCGACUUGGAGGUUGUUCCCUUGAGGAGUGGCUUCCGGAGCUAACGCGUUAAGUCGACCGCCUGGGGAGUACGGCCGCAAGGUUAAAACUCAAAUGAAUUGACGGGGGCCCGCACAAGCGGUGGAGCAUGUGGUUUAAUUCGAUGCAACGCGAAGAACCUUACCUACUCUUGACAUCCACGGAAUUCGGCAGAGAUGCCUUAGUGCCUUCGGGAACCGUGAGACAGGUGCUGCAUGGCUGUCGUCAGCUCGUGUUGUGAAAUGUUGGGUUAAGUCCCGCAACGAGCGCAACCCUCGUUCUAUGUUGCCAGCACGUAAUGGUGAGAACUCAUGGGAUACUGCCGGGGUCAACUCGGAGGAAGGUGGGGAUGACGUCAAAUCAUCAUGCCCCUUAUGUCUUGGGCUUCACGCAUGCUACAAUGGCCGGUACAAAGGGCUGCAAUACCGUAAGGUGGAGCGAAUCCCAAAAAGCCGGUCCCAGUUCGGAUUGAGGUCUGCAACUCGACCUCAUGAAGUCGGAGUCGCUAGUAAUCGCAGAUCAGCAACGCUGCGGUGAAUACGUUCCCGGGUCUUGUACACACCGCCCGUCAAGUCAUGAAAGUCGGUAACACCUGAAGCCGGUGGCCCAACCCUUGUGGAGGGAGCCGUCGAAGGUGGGAUCGGUAAUUAGGACUAAGUCGUAACAAGGUA